This 364-nucleotide ribosomal RNA is filed under the name Lamproderma ovoideum. Its description in RNAcentral is "SSU rRNA". It matches the Rfam family "Eukaryotic small subunit ribosomal RNA", at positions 76 to 405 of the family's 1831-position model. RNAcentral also lists the same sequence under 1 other name. The record is from RNAcentral. Lineage: Eukaryota; Evosea; Eumycetozoa; Stemonitida; Stemonitidae.
UCUCUCUGAAUCUGCGAACGGCUCCGCAAACCAGUUGUAAACUAGAGCAAGCAAGUCUGGCGGGCUUCGGCCUCCAGGCGAUAUGGAUAACCCUGGUAAUUCUGAGGCUAAUACAUGACCGCAAAACCGGGCAGCCCAGCAAUGGAUGCUCGGGGAUGUGCGAUAUGGCUUGACAAUGACCGGGAAAGGACGCACACUCAGACCGCGCUAAAAAGGAUCGGGACUCCCUUCGGGGAACCUGGCCCCAGCGGCUCUUGCUGUGUGCUUCUGACCUAUCAACUAGACGGCAGCGUAAUGGACAUGCUAUGGUGACAACGGGUACAGAGGAUUAGGGUUCGAUCCUGGAGAGUGGGCCUGAGAGAUU